GCCAGGCAUGAUGGUGCACACCUGUAGUCCUAGCUUCUCAGGAGGCUGAGAUAGGAGGAUCACUUGAGCCCAGGAGUUCAGGGCUGCAGUGAACUAUAAUCAUACCACUGCCACUCCAGCCUGGGCAACAGAGUGAGACCCUGUCUCUA
This 149-nucleotide non-coding RNA is filed under the name Nomascus leucogenys (northern white-cheeked gibbon). The record is from Rfam by way of RNAcentral. Lineage: Eukaryota; Metazoa; Chordata; Mammalia; Primates; Hylobatidae.